Molecule: ribosomal RNA, 681 nt
Filed under: uncultured bacterium
Lineage: Bacteria
Description: bacterial SSU rRNA
Rfam family: Bacterial small subunit ribosomal RNA
Source: RNAcentral
GGCGGACGGGUGAGUAAUGCCUAGGAAUCUGCCUGGUAGUGGGGGACAACGUUUCGAAAGGAACGCUAAUACCGCAUACGUCCUACGGGAGAAAGCAGGGGACCUUCGGGCCUUGCGCUAUCAGAUGAGCCUAGGUCGGAUUAGCUAGUUGGUGGGGUAAUGGCUCACCAAGGCGACGAUCCGUAACUGGUCUGAGAGGAUGAUCAGUCACACUGGAACUGAGACACGGUCCAGACUCCUACGGGAGGCAGCAGUGGGGAAUAUUGGACAAUGGGCGAAAGCCUGAUCCAGCCAUGCCGCGUGUGUGAAGAAGGUCUUCGGAUUGUAAAGCACUUUAAGUUGGGAGGAAGGGCAGUAAGCUAAUACCUUGCUGUUUUGACGUUACCGACAGAAUAAGCACCGGCUAACUCUGUGCCAGCAGCCGCGGUAAUACAGAGGGUGCAAGCGUUAAUCGGAAUUACUGGGCGUAAAGCGCGCGUAGGUGGUUUGUUAAGUUGGAUGUGAAAGCCCCGGGCUCAACCUGGGAACUGCAUCCAAAACUGGCAAGCUAGAGUACGGUAGAGGGUGGUGGAAUUUCCUGUGUAGCGGUGAAAUGCGUAGAUAUAGGAAGGAACACCAGUGGCGAAGGCGACCACCUGGACUGAUACUGACACUGAGGUGCGAAAGCGUGGGGAGCAAACA